RNAcentral lists this small RNA (92 nucleotides) under Cercocebus atys (sooty mangabey). RNAcentral describes it as "Y RNA (ENSCATG00000002215.1)". Lineage: Eukaryota; Metazoa; Chordata; Mammalia; Primates; Cercopithecidae. The record is from RNAcentral.
GACUAGUCCUGUGGGUUAUCAGAACUUAAUAAACAUUAGUGUCACUAAAGCUGGUAUACAACUCCCCCACUGCUAAAUUUGACUGGCUUUAA